Molecule: long non-coding RNA, 2001 nt
Organism: Canis lupus familiaris (dog)
Lineage: Eukaryota; Metazoa; Chordata; Mammalia; Carnivora; Canidae
Exons: 3
Source: RefSeq, a predicted model, not a curated record
GGGGUGAGGGACGCCUCCCGGUCGGCCUGGUCCCCUGGAAGCGGCGAAGCGUGCAUCCUGUCCGGCAGCUGAGGGAAGUCCGAGCGUGGCCUCCCCGCUCCCCACCUCACGCCUGAGUCAUCGGCGAGUCUCUUCUUCCUCUGGGAGACCCCACAAGCCCUUCGGAAACGUGCCCCCGGCAGCUCAUGGGAGCCCAUCCUGGCCACACCAGCGCCCCCAAGACACUGCUCUCUGGAUCCAGCAAGGGUCACCACCGGAGAGCUUGCAGAGGUAACACUUCAGUAUGCACCUGAUUAAACACCUGGUGACAGCUACUCAUUGUUCAUCUUUCUGGUAUUAUGGCAGCCCUGGAGCCAGACCCACUUUCCUACCAUGUGUACACAAAGUGAGCGGCAGUUCUCAGUAUCUCGCACCGGACUGCAACCAUGCCAGGGCCCAAAGCUACUCUCAUUCACACAGGGCCAGUGGGCUUCACACUGAUAUCAGCAGAGAAACAAAAGCAUGGCCCUCUGGAAGCCACAUCCACAGAAGCUACGCCAGGGACACACAACAAGAAACAACCUCCAAGUGAUUGGAGAGGUGGGCCCUCACCUCCUUGGCAGCCGUGGCGGCGCCCACAGAUCUGCACUGCACUUCUUUGGUCUUCCCCAAAGUUCAAGGCCAGUGAAAGAGGACUUGCUGGCUUAUGUUUCUGAGCUAGAGAUUUUCUCACCAUACAAAAGAUUUCUGGGUUUCCGUGAAGCACACACUCCCAAAGCAUAUUUCGAGAAGAGAGAUAAGCGAACUCACAGAACACCUGUAGAUGAGCUUCUCCCGGGACACCAAAGGCUGGUGCGAUUUUAGGAUGAGGGUUACGCUGAAGAAUAUGGGAAUGUAUGGGGCGAGCGGUGGUGCCCAGUCCUGAAGCGGUAGCCCCACAGCCUGAGCCAGGAACGCUGGGUUGCCUGAACACCCCGGCUAGGAGGGCAGAUCUGUAUCUCGCACAUACCUGGUGUGUGUGCAAACACUCACUAAACACCUACGCACUUCGUACACUACCAGCCUCAUUUUCAAGCUACGAUCAAGGCCAAUAUUUAUUUAAUUUGAUUGAUUGAAAACAUUUAAUAUAAUCAUAACCUUUGUAUAUAACCAUGUAGGGUUUUUUUCUUAUUUUCCGGUAUGAACAUUUAUUUGGCCAUCCGUAGAGCGGCCUGGGAUGGUGACACAGAUCCUUUCCAGCAACUCGGUAGCAAACAAACAACUUAAAAAUCCUGCUCUGAAUUUUGAAAAUCACUUUGAGAGUUUUGCAGAAGUGAUCUUUCCCCACCCAUAACCUCUAAAAAUAUCUCCCGGCCCUUCUGAUAAUGAGAGGCACUAAUAGGAUAGAUGGAUGCUUAAUUAGUUCCACCAAAAAAAAACUGCAGUGUGUCUAUCCUGGUUAGUGCUUAUCAUAUGGAUUUUUCUUUUAUCCUUCUCUCUGAUUCAUUGGUUCAUUUUUUUUUUUUUAAGUAAAAGAACUGCUGUCAUCCCAUAACUGUUCUUACAAGAUAACGUUAGUCAUUGUGUUCUCACAAUAUGCUUCUCAUCUGGCAGUUAAUUUCCCCAGGGAGUGCUGGGAUGUUUUAUUUUCAGAUAAUCUCCAAUUAGCUUCUUUUCUCUAUAAUCCUGCUCAGCCCACAUUCACACUUUUCUCCUGUACAUCUUCCUCCUCUUAACAUACUUCAAGGAAGACAUGUGAUUUACACUGUUUAUAACUCUGCCUCACCUAUUUGCUCGCUCAUCUACGUCAAGAGAUACUAGAUUUUAAUGCCCAAGAUCCAAAUCAGAUAAAAUAAAACAUCAGGUCUAUCAAAUGCUGCUUUUCCCAGCUAAGCUCACGCUGCAUUCAAUCCUUCUUUUUACGAAUUUGAAAGGAUAUUCCUGAGAUCUAUAUUAAAUAUGAUCCUUGGGACGCCUGGGUGGCUCAGCGGUUGGUGUCUACCUUUGGCUCAAGUUGUGAUCCUGGGGUUCCGGGAUCAAGUC